This 526-nucleotide ribosomal RNA is filed under the name uncultured bacterium. RNAcentral's name for it is "bacterial SSU rRNA". It matches the Rfam family "Bacterial small subunit ribosomal RNA", at positions 984 to 1509 of the family's 1533-position model. The record is from RNAcentral.
ACAUCCAGAGAAUUUGGCAGAGAUGCCUUAGUGCCUUCGGGAACUCUGAGACAGGUGCUGCAUGGCUGUCGUCAGCUCGUGUUGUGAAAUGUUGGGUUAAGUCCCGNAACGAGCGCAACCCUUAUCCUUUGUUGCCAGCACGUAAUGGUGGGAACUCAAAGGAGACUGCCGGUGAUAAACCGGAGGAAGGUGGGGAUGACGUCAAGUCAUCAUGGCCCUUACGAGUAGGGCUACACACGUGCUACAAUGGCGCAUACAAAGAGAAGCGACCUCGCGAGAGCAAGCGGACCUCAUAAAGUGCGUCGUAGUCCGGAUUGGAGUCUGCAACUCGACUCCAUGAAGUCGGAAUCGCUAGUAAUCGUAAAUCAGAAUGUUACGGUGAAUACGUUCCCGGGCCUUGUACACACCGCCCGUCACACCAUGGGAGUGGGUUGCAAAAGAAGUAGAUAGCUUAACCUUCGGGAGGGCGUUUACCACUUUGUGAUUCAUGACUGGGGUGAAGUCGUAACAAGGUAGGCGUAGCGAG